This 734-nucleotide long non-coding RNA is filed under the name Canis lupus familiaris (dog). RNAcentral describes it as "lncRNA (ENSCAFG00030021903.1)". The record is from RNAcentral. Lineage: Eukaryota; Metazoa; Chordata; Mammalia; Carnivora; Canidae.
AUGGACAACCUCAAUUGUUGCUGCUGCGAUGAUGUUGCCAAGGCUGUGGUGCCAGAUUUUGUCCACCGAAACUCAAGCAACGGUGAAAUCCAGUAUCGGUGCCAGUUUAGACUUGGUGAGAGAAGCAGAGACUGUACCCAGGCUCCUUAUAUCAGUCAUGGACGUCUAAUGAAGGAUGGAUAUCUGGAUACCUUCAAGCAGCUGCUUGAAACACAAACCUCAAUGAAUUUUCUUUUCAAAAAGAAUUUUCAAGAAUUAUUUAAGCCAUGGAAAACUGUGAAAUAUGUGUGUCAUCCAUUGAGUCUCUAGACAAUUAAGAGUGACUCGACCGUCACCCUUAGGACUGUGUGCACUGCCAAGUAUCUGAUUCUCUCACACAGAACUCAGAGAUUAUUUCAAUAAAUUUGAUAUUUUAUUCUUUCUUCUUAUCAUAUCAGACUUUGUUACUUCUACCAAUUAUAUACAUAUUGUAUAACACUGGUCACUGGCUCAAGAUAAACAAGACAAACCAAACAUCAUCCUCAGAGUACCAGCAACAAAGCUGGAAUAUAUUUUCCCUAAACUUGAAAUACACAGAAACCAUGAUCAUUACCCAGUAAAGAUGAAGUACAGAGAAAGCCAUUCCACUUCAAAAUCAACAAGCAGGCGAAUAUCACCCAAAUGUGUUCUUCAGCUGUAAGGCUAUGGGAUUCAAUAAAUAAACUUUUUGAAAUUAAGUAUUUCAAAAUCAUUGG